RNAcentral lists this transfer RNA (164 nucleotides) under Echinacanthus longipes. RNAcentral's name for it is "partial tRNA-His". Lineage: Eukaryota; Viridiplantae; Streptophyta; Magnoliopsida; Lamiales; Acanthaceae. The record is from RNAcentral.
GAAGGAGGAAAUAUUCUAUUCUUAGUCUUAGGGGUUGAUUAAUGAUUGAAUACUAUUCGUUCGUUCUCUAUAAAUAUCAAUUUUUUCCAUCUAUCUACCUUAUCUAAUUUCUUGUUCAAUAUGUACUUUGUAUUCUUUUUAAGAAAAUCUAAAUACAGGGCGGA